UGAUGCAGCCAUGCCGCGUGUGUGAAGAAGGCCUUCGGGUUGUAAAGCACUUUCAGCGAGGAGGAAAGGUUAGUAGUUAAUAACUGCUAGCUGUGACGUUACUCGCAGAAGAAGCACCGGCUAACUCCGUGCCAGCAGCCGCGGUAAUAAUCACU
RNAcentral lists this ribosomal RNA (155 nucleotides) under uncultured Gammaproteobacteria bacterium. Its description in RNAcentral is "partial 16S ribosomal RNA". It matches the Rfam family "Bacterial small subunit ribosomal RNA", at positions 384 to 529 of the family's 1533-position model. Lineage: Bacteria; Pseudomonadati; Pseudomonadota; Gammaproteobacteria. The record is from RNAcentral.